GAGGGCCAAUGCAUUGCCUCAGUAGCGGCGAGUGAAGCGGCAAGAGCUCAGAUUUGAAAUCGUGCUUUGCGGCACGAGUUGUAGAUUGCAGGUUGGAGUCUGUGUGGAAGGCGGUGUCCAAGUCCCUUGGAACAGGGCGCCCAGGAGGGUGAGAGCCCCGUGGGAUGCCGGCGGAAGCAGUGAGGCCCUUCUGACGAGUCGAGUUGUUUGGGAAU
Molecule: ribosomal RNA, 215 nt
Filed under: Pichia kudriavzevii
Lineage: Eukaryota; Fungi; Ascomycota; Pichiomycetes; Pichiales; Pichiaceae
Description: partial 26S ribosomal RNA
Rfam family: Eukaryotic large subunit ribosomal RNA
Source: RNAcentral